AUUGAACGCUGGCGGCAUGCCUUACACAUGCAAGUCGAACGGCAGCACGGGUGCUUGCACCUGGUGGCGAGUGGCGAACGGGUGAGUAAUACAUCGGAACAUGUCCUGUAGUGGGGGCUAGCCCGGCGAAAGCCGGAUUAAUACCGCAUACGAACCACGGAUGAAAGCGGGGGACCUUCGGGCCUCGCGCUAUAGGGUUGGCCGAUGGCUGAUUAGCUAGUUGGUGGGGUAAAGGCCUACCAAGGCGACGAUCAGUAGCUGGUCUGAGAGGACGACAAGCCACACUGUGACUGAGACACGGCCCAGACUCCUACGGGAGGCAGCAGUGGGGAAUUUUGGACAAUGGGCGAAAGCCUGAUCCAGCAAUGCCGCGUGUGUGAAGAAGGCCUUCGGGUUGUAAAGCACUUUUGUCCGGAAAGAAAUCCUGGACUCUAAUACAGUCGGGUGAUGACGGUACCGGAAGAAUAAGCACCGGCUAACUACGUG
RNAcentral lists this ribosomal RNA (486 nucleotides) under uncultured bacterium. Its description in RNAcentral is "partial 16S ribosomal RNA". It matches the Rfam family "Bacterial small subunit ribosomal RNA", at positions 30 to 507 of the family's 1533-position model. The record is from RNAcentral.